CACCGUCCCACGCCUCAAGCCCCUCGCUGUGCCUUCAGGCAGGGAGACCCAGCGCCCGGGAACUGCCCCCGCCCCCGGUCUUCACAGCCCUGCGGCCUUAGGUCAACACAUUGUAUAGGCUGAUUCUACUGUGAAUGGAUAAUUGCCGGCUUAUACCAUCUUUAUGCUUCUUCAUCAGGGUGACAAUGAAGUUUAAAACGGAGCAUCCUUAUCAUAUACACAAGUUUUGUGGGGGCAGAGACUGUAAAUAUGGCAAUGCUAUAUUAGAAAUGGAAUCCCACAAAUGUAAUGAAUUAGAUUAUUGUAUAAUAAAGUAUUUCUCAUAAUAUUUUACUGUUGUACCUCUCAUCCUCCCUACAGCUUUCUAAUCUUUGUCAUCCCUUCCCAAUUUAGGGCCCAAACCUGCAGCUCUCACUCAAAUAUUACAUAAGUAGUCUCAAAGCCAAAAGAACUACUUACAUGAAUAAGAGAUGCAGAAUUGGGCCAGAGAUUCCCCUUUCUUGGGAAAGAGGCUUUAGCUAUCUGUUUAACACUACACACACAUAUGAACCUGUGGAAUUAAAAUAGUAUGAGCUUAAUCCUGGCCAUUAUGCCACAGGCUUGAGCAGAGGCCAUGAUGAAGCUCCUGCACCAUUGAGAGAGUAACAUCAGUGAGGUUCUCUCCUGGUGGUGUCCCUUGCAUAUAGGGGUAAAAUAUUUUGUUCCAUCUCAGGGAGCCAACCCCACUCCUUGGGCUAGCAUGGAGAAGGAUAGAGCCAUGACUCUUCCCCAUUUUUCAGUGUUCUUCUCCCCGUGGUGGGGAGAAGUCCAGAGACUUGUGGUUAGAGGCUCCUGCAGAGCCAUGCAUGGGGUCAUGGAGGCUUCUUACACACCCCUGAAUGGCUGCACAUGGUCUUCUCAUUAUUGGGUCCUUUAUGACCCCUGUGCUGUUCCUUAUU
This is a long non-coding RNA of Dermochelys coriacea (leatherback sea turtle), 938 nucleotides long. RefSeq lists it as uncharacterized. The transcript has 2 exons. The record is from RefSeq and is a predicted model, not a curated record. NCBI's taxonomy places the organism in Eukaryota, Metazoa, Chordata, Testudines, Dermochelyidae.